RNAcentral lists this ribosomal RNA (253 nucleotides) under uncultured bacterium. RNAcentral's name for it is "partial 16S ribosomal RNA". It matches the Rfam family "Archaeal small subunit ribosomal RNA", at positions 474 to 727 of the family's 1478-position model. The record is from RNAcentral.
UACCAGCACCCCGAGUGGUCGGGACGAUUAUUGGGCCUAAAGCAUCCGUAGCCGGUUUUACAAGUCCUCCGUUAAGUCCAGCUGCUUAACAGAUGGGCUGCGGAGGAUACUAUAAGACUAGGAGGCAGGAGAGGCAAGCGGUACUCAGUGGGUAGGGGUAAAAUCCGUUGAUCCAUUGAAGACCACCAGUGGCGAAGGCGGCUUGCCAGAAUGCGCUCGACGGUGAGGGAUGAAAGCUGGGGGAGCAAACAGG